RNAcentral lists this ribosomal RNA (925 nucleotides) under uncultured archaeon. RNAcentral's name for it is "bacterial SSU rRNA". It matches the Rfam family "Archaeal small subunit ribosomal RNA", at positions 21 to 922 of the family's 1478-position model. The record is from RNAcentral.
CCCCACUGCUAUCGGGAUAGGACUAAGACAUGCUAGUCGAGCGCCUCCCAGCCACGACGGAGGCGCGGCGUACAGCUCAGUAACACGUGGCUAACCUGCCCUCGGGACGGGAAUACCCCCGGGAAACUGGGGCUAAUCCUCGAUAGGUGAAGAACUCUGGAAUGAGUCUCCGCCCAAAAGACGCUUAAAUCAUGCUUUUAGGCGCCGCCCAAGGAUGGGGCCGCGACCGAUCAGGUUGUUGGUGAGGCAACGGCUCACCAAGCCUUUAACCGGUGCGGGCCGUGAGAGCGGGAGCCCGGAGAUGGGCACUGAGACAAGGGCCCAGGCCCUACGGGGCGCAGCAGUCGCGAAAACUUUGCAAUACACGAAAGUGUGACAGGGUUAUCCCGAGUGCCAUCCGCUGAGGAAGGCUUUUACCCAGUAUAGAAAGCUGGGAGAAUAAGGAGAGGGCAAGACUGGUGUCAGCCGCCGCGGUAAUACCAGCUCUCCGAGUGGUGUGGAUGUUUAUUGGGCCUAAAGCAUCCGUAGCUGGCCAAGUUAGUCCCCUGUUAAAUCCACCGAAUUAAUCGUUGGAGUGCGGGGGAUACUGCUCGGCUAGGGGACGAGAGAGGCCGACGGUAUUUUCGGGGUAGGGGUGAAAUCCUAUAAUCCCGGGAGGACCACCAGUGGCGAAGGCUGUCGGCUAGAACGCGCCCGACGGUGAGGGAUGAAAGCUGGGGGAGCGAACCGGAUUAGAUACCCGGGUAGUCCCAGCUGUAAACGAUGCAGGCUAGGUGUUUGGGCGGCCACGGGCCGCUCUAGUGCCGCAGGGAAGCCGUUAAGCCUGCCGCCUGGGGAGUACGGUCGCAAGGCUGAAACUUAAAGGAAUUGGCGGGGGAGCACCACAAGGUGUGAAGCUUGCGGUUUAAUUGGAUUCAACGCCGGA